UCGUGGAGGGGUUCCUUCUCGCUAACCUCUUCGCCCGGAAGUGGCAACAAGACUGCCACACCCCUUCACGCCUAGUCUGCAACGAACUUUGUUUAACCCGGAGGCGGGGCCAGCCAGCUCCGCCCCUCCAGCUGGACGCGGGAGCGAGGUUGAGGUUCCUAUCCGUGGGUUCUCUCCAGGCCUGAGGCCGAGAGCCAGCCGCCUGCCUACCUCUGGGCUUUGAACGCCGGGUCUGGUGACUUCGCUUAAAGACCUCGGGCCAAAGGCCCGACAGGCUCAACCUCGGUUCACAGGACCCCCGACUUGUGUGAGUCGUACACCGCUCCUUACCGUCUCUGGACCUAGGUCAUCUCGGCAGUAAAAUGGGGUGAAAUGACCCGACCUCCCCGGAGGAUGCCGCGCACGAUGUGUGCCUCGAGUUGGCUUCCACUGACCUGAACUGUUAAGAAAGCCCUCCUCAGUGACGCCUUCCCUGAAUCCACAGUGGAGAUUGCCGUUUCCCUGGAACUAAUUCACCCACAUUUACCCAUUUCAUCCCUUUCCACCUUUUAUUUUUACCUUUCUGCCCCACUGAUCUCUAGAAUAGGUGCUGUGAGAAGUUAGAGUAUUUGAUCUCUCACUCUCCAAUCAUCCCACUUACCGAGCAGUGAUUCUCUGCCUGGCUGCACAUUGGAAUCACUUGGGGAGCCUCUAAAAAUGCUGAUGCCAGGGCUCUACCCCAAGCCAGUUAAAACCUCCAGCGCUGGACCUGGGCAUUGGUACUUUUUGUAAAGCUUUCAGUUUACCAAGAUGAUGCCAGUAUAGCUAGUGAGAUGCAGCACGCCAUCUUCAGCCCCCUUGCCUCUAGAAGAGACACCAGACUGCAAAGGGCACUGCGUACAGAAGCUAACGGAACUCGAAUGACAAGACAAAAAGAGCAGAACCAGUUAGUGUGACACAACAUUCUAACAUGCCUGAUUCUUACAUUGAAUAUGGUAACUUGGGGAUUGGUGGGGGGAAACAAAAAAGGAAAAUCCGCUUGGGAAUACUUUGAUGAAGUUUGCAAACCAGCACUUUACCCCCAAAUUAACAACAGCUUGUAUGGAAAAAAAAAUGCUCUUUUAAAAGUAUAUGGUUUGGACAAGUA
Molecule: long non-coding RNA, 1126 nt
Organism: Symphalangus syndactylus (siamang)
Lineage: Eukaryota; Metazoa; Chordata; Mammalia; Primates; Hylobatidae
Source: RefSeq, a predicted model, not a curated record